UGCAUAUCAAUAAGCGGAGGAAAAGAAACCAACAGGGAUUGCCUCAGUAACGGCGAGUGAAGCGGCAAAAGCUCAAAUUUGAAACCUUCGGGAUUGUAAUUUGAAGAUUUGGCAUUGGAGAAAGCUAACCCAAGUUACUUGGAAUAGUACGUCAUAGAGGGUGACAACCCCGUCUGGCUAACCGUUCUCCAUGUAUUGCCUUAUCAAAGAGUCGAGUUGUUUGGGAAUGCAGCUCAAAGUGGGUGGUAAACUCCAUCUAAAGCUAAAUACUGGUGAGAGACCGAUAGCGAACAAGUACUGUGAAGGAAAGGUGAAAAGAACUUUGAAAAGAGAGUGAAAUAGUAUGUGAAAUUGUUGAUAGGGAAGGAAAUGAGCGGAGAGUGGUUGAGGUUUCAGCGCACCCUUGGGUGCGUGUAUUGCCGACGCCGAGUCAUUGACAGCGAGACGGGGGCUACAAACAGGUUGCUCUUGAGCUUCCCACCUAUCCCCCCCACUGCCGCCAACGACAUAAUCCGCCCAUUUCACCCGUCUUGAA
RNAcentral lists this ribosomal RNA (535 nucleotides) under Yarrowia sp. 83Y. Its description in RNAcentral is "eukaryotic LSU rRNA". It matches the Rfam family "Eukaryotic large subunit ribosomal RNA", at positions 37 to 658 of the family's 3401-position model. Lineage: Eukaryota; Fungi; Ascomycota; Dipodascomycetes; Dipodascales. The record is from RNAcentral.